AACGAACGCUGGCGGCAGGCUUAACACAUGCAAGUCGAACGAAGCACCUUAUUCUGAUUUCUUCGGAAUGAAAAAUUUGGUGACUGAGUGGCGGACGGGUGAGUAACGCGUGGGUAACCUGCCUCAUACAGGGGGAUAACAGUUAGAAAUGACUGCUAAUACCGCAUAAGACCACAGCACCGCAUGGUGCAGGGGUAAAAACUCCGGUGGUAUGAGAUGGACGCGCGUCUGAUUAGGGAGUUGGGGGGGUAACGGCCUACCAAGCCGACGAUCAGUAGCCCACCUGGGAGGGUGGCCGGCCACAUUGGGGCUGAGACACGGCCCAAACUCCUACGGGAGGCAGCAGUGGGGAAUAUUGCACAAUGGGGGAAACCCUGAUGCAGCGACGCCGCGUGAGUGAUGAAGUAUUUCGGUAUGUAAAGCUCUAUCAGCAGGGAAGAAAAUGACGGUACCUGACUAAGAAGCUCCGGCUAAAUACGUGCCAGCCGCCGCGGUAA
RNAcentral lists this ribosomal RNA (497 nucleotides) under uncultured bacterium. RNAcentral's name for it is "partial 16S ribosomal RNA". It matches the Rfam family "Bacterial small subunit ribosomal RNA", at positions 29 to 523 of the family's 1533-position model. The record is from RNAcentral.